GCCACAUGAUGCUUUUUAGAUACCAUAGCGUUACUGCAUUGAUGACCUUUUAUCUAUCACCCAUUAACUGAUGGCA
Molecule: small nucleolar RNA, 76 nt
Gene: SNORD83
Rfam family: Small nucleolar RNA SNORD83
About the family: U83 (SNORD83) and U84 (SNORD84) are members of the C/D class of snoRNA which contain the C (UGAUGA) and D (CUGA) box motifs. They act as guanine methylation guides but lack complementarity to ribosomal RNA.
Source: Ensembl